Molecule: ribosomal RNA, 460 nt
Filed under: uncultured bacterium
Lineage: Bacteria
Description: bacterial SSU rRNA
Rfam family: Bacterial small subunit ribosomal RNA
Source: RNAcentral
UACGGAAGGCAGCAGUGGGGAAUAUUGCACAAUGGGCGAAAGCCUGAUGCAGCUAUGCCGCGUGUAUGAAGAAGGCCUUAGGGUUGUAAAGUACUUUCAUCGGGGAGGAAAAAACAAAAACUAAUAAUUUUAUUUUCUUGACGUUACCCGAAAAAGAAGCACCGGCUAACUCCGUGCCAGCAGCCGCGGUAAUACGGAGGGUGCUAGCGUUAAUCAGAAUUACUGGGCGUAAAGAGCACGUAGGUGGUUUUUUUAAGUCAGAUGUGAAAUCUCUGGGCUUAACCUAGGAACUGCAUUUUGAAACUGAAAUACUAGAGUAUCGUAGAGGGAGGUAGAAAUUCUAGGUGUAGCGGUGAAAUGCGUAGAUAUCUGGAGGAAUACCUGUGGCGAAAGCGGCCUCCUAAACGAAUACUGACACUGAGGUGCGAAAAGCGUGGGGAGCAAACAGGGAUUAGAUACC